Long non-coding RNA from Quercus lobata, 2244 nucleotides. RefSeq lists it as uncharacterized. The record is from RefSeq and is a predicted model, not a curated record. NCBI's taxonomy places the organism in Eukaryota, Viridiplantae, Streptophyta, Magnoliopsida, Fagales, Fagaceae. The transcript has 9 exons.
GAACGUUUGAAGGGUAGCUCUUGUAGUUGGUAUAAGAAAAAACAGGGUAGGACUAGUGGUGGGCUAAGUGAAUUGAAGGAGCUGAGCAAUCUGGGAGGAAGCCUUAUGAUCAGAAAUUUGGGACAUGAAAAAGAUGACAUAGUGGAAUGUAAAGCCACAAACAUGAAGGAGAAACAACAUCUUCAAGAGCUGCAUUUAUGGUGGGAUCGAGUAUGGGAUGAUGGAGAAACCAAAUUUUAUGAUGAAAUGUCAUUGGAAGGGCUCCAGCCACAUCCAAAUCUUCAAAUGUUGUGGUUAUCUUUAUAUAUGGGUGUGAGAAUUCCAAGUUGGGUCUCUUCGCUCACUAAUCUUGUCAAAUUGGUAGUAUUUAAUAAUAAAAGAUUGCAGCACCUCCCACCAUUAAAUCAUCUCCCUUUUCUCAAGUCUAUAUGUCUUUAAUUUAUGGCAGCACUUGAAUACAUAUCAGAUGAAGACUGUGUUAGUCAUGUGUUGAGUGGUUCCUCUUUUUCAAAAACACCAUUCUUCCCAUCCUUAUCUCAUCUUGAAUUAUGGAAUUGCUCAAAUUUGAAGGGGUGGUGGAGAAUUCAGAUGAUGAUGAUGAUAAUCAACCAAACCAUCUCUUACUUCCAUCAUUUCCUCCUUGUCUUUCUCAGUUAAAGAUUGUCGGAUGCUCUAACCUGACUUGCAUGCCUCUGUUUCCAUAUCUCAAAGAAGAUCUAAAAAUGGUUAGAGUUAGUUCAAAGGUAUUGCAACAGACAAUGAAAAUGAAAAUGGGAGCAACCACGUCACCCUCCUCGUGCUACUUUCCUCUCUCUCAAUUACAGUCUAUGGAGUUAUGUUCAGUCAAGGAUUUAGAAUCUUAUCCAGAGGAGUGGCUGCAAAACCUCGAUUCUCUCUGGAAACUCAAAAUAUACAACUGUGAAGAACUGGGUUCUCUCCCUUGGAUGGCCAACCUCACAUCACUACAACCACUUUCAAUUCAGGGUUGUCUCAAUCUUACUUCACUUCCUCAAGGGAUUCGCAAUACCACCUCUUUAAAGCAGUUAACAAUUGAGAAUUGUCCAAUCUUAUGGCGAAGAUGCUUGAGGCCUACAGGUGAAGAUUGGCCCAUCAUUUCUCAUGUCCCACGCAUGAUCGUGGAAUAUGAGAAAUAGCAAGAAGAAACAAAUUCUCCAAAAAUAGAGUGGUUUUUAAAACACGUCGAGAGGACUGAAUCUAGCAACUACCAUUGCAAGAAUUAGCUUAUUUUGCAGGCUGUUACUGCUCAGAGAAGCUUCCAAAUGUAGGAGCUUUUCAUUUUCCAAAAGGUUGAUAAGCCAUAGGAUUUUCUUCUUGACGUGACUGCAGUCUCUGUUCAAACAUGAGGCAGCAUUCUGCAUGUUCUUUUGGCCAUAGAUGAAUGGAAUAGAUGGAAGUCAUGGAACCUUUCAGGCCAAAGAGAGUAAAAAGUGUAAAGAUGGUAGAGCAUGACAGCAAAAGAAGCAGUUCAGAUAAACAUCCCAAACUGGAAUAAUUCGUUGCAAAGCAUAGCAAUGGUUGGUAAUGGCGUAAUGCUCAAACCACAGGACUUUUGGAAUUUUUAUUUUCCCAGUAGUUGAAUCUUGAAUCUUUUGGAUCUUGAUACACCUUCUACUGUUGUAGCAUCUGCCUCAUCUCCAUAUAUUUCAAAGAUGCUUCGUAACACUUUGAUUAGGGUGUAUGAAUAAUAAUCGAGCCUCCAACUAUACUACAAGAACUAGCAUAUAAUGCAGGGUAAAGGCUGUGCAUAAGUUGACAAUUUGAAGUCCCAAGAAAAUUAGUGAUUGCUCCAUUGAGAUGGUUUUUGCCACAACAAAACUUUAAUGAUGGUUCCAUUAAUCAUGCAACCCGUCUCAUAACUCCUUUUCAGUGAGAGGGAUAUCAACCAUUAUAUGGUCACACAAUUCCCACUGAAGCUGACAAAGGGAAAUUUAACCAUGUUUGACUUAGAUUUGCUCAAAUUCGGCGACGUUUGGCCUAGAUUCGGCAAGGUUUGGCUCAGAUCUGCUUAAAUCCGGCUGAAUCUUUCUCUCCUCCACUAAGAUCUGGCGAAGAUCUACCACCCUCCACCAUCCACCCACCACCCACCACCACUCCUUCAUCAGUUUCAACCAAACUGACCGAUCAUCUGUCAGAGCCCGAUCAAUCUAUUAAUUUUCUUUUUGGUGUUCGUUUUUCAAAUUCAAUGAGCUUUUGCCUAAAAUUUGUUCCGUCUAGUGAAGCAUC